RNAcentral lists this ribosomal RNA (270 nucleotides) under uncultured archaeon. RNAcentral's name for it is "partial 16S ribosomal RNA". It matches the Rfam family "Archaeal small subunit ribosomal RNA", at positions 477 to 747 of the family's 1478-position model. The record is from RNAcentral.
CAGCAGCCCGAGUGGUGGUCGUUUUUAUAGGGCCUAAAGCGUCCGUAGCCGGUCUAGUAAAUCCUUGGAUAAAUCGUACAGCUUAACUGUACGGCUCCCAGGGAGACUGCUAGACUUGGGACUGGGAGAGGUCGGAGGUACUCCAGGGGUAGGGGUGAAAUCUUGUAAUCCUUGGGGGACCACCAGUGGCGAAGGCGUCCGACUAGAACGGGUCCGACGGUAAGGGACGAAGCCCUAGGGCGCGAACCGGAUUAGAUACCCGAGUAGUCC